Molecule: ribosomal RNA, 433 nt
Filed under: uncultured bacterium
Lineage: Bacteria
Description: partial 16S ribosomal RNA
Rfam family: Bacterial small subunit ribosomal RNA
Source: RNAcentral
AACGAACGCUGGCGGCAUGCCUAACACAUGCGAGUCGAACGAGACCUUCGGGUCUAGUGGCGCACGGGUGCGUAACGCGUGGGAACCUGCCCUUAGGUUUGGAAUAACUCCCCGAAAGGGGUGCUAAUACCGGAUAAUGUCUUCGGACCAAAGAUUUAUCGCCUUUGGAUGGGCCCGCGUUGGAUUAGCUAGUUGGUAGGGUAAAAGCCUACCAAGGCGACGAUCCAUAGCUGGUCUGAGAGGAUGAUCAGCCACACUGGGACUGAGACACGGCCCAGACUCCUACGGGAGGCAGCAGUGGGGAAUAUUGGACAAUGGGCGAAAGCCUGAUCCAGCAAUGCCGCGUGAGUGAUGAAGGCCUUAGGGUUGUAAAGCUCUUUUACCCGGGAUGAUAAUGACAGUACCGGGAGAAUAAGCUCCGGCUAACUCCGUG